ACUAUUGAUAAUCUAACUUCUGAAUUAUCACAGGUGCACGCUGAAGGCGGAAAUGAAGCAUGAUCUGGCUUGCAUCUGGUCAUGAAGAAAUUGCUGACACGUUAGUUGCAGUCCACCUCCACCAACAGGGUGGAAAACAAAGAUCGCCAUUCCGAUUAGCUGCUAUCUCCCAGUUCAAGCACUUUUGUGUCUGGACACUGGUUCCUGUGGAUGGGGUGUUACAAGCUUUACUGUCUGAUAUAGAAGUGAUGAGCAUCCAUAAGGACACAUGCCAGAAAGGGAGUCUCUUUGGGAUGACAAACCCUCAUCACCUCAUGAGGAUACAAUGGUUGACGAAUGGUUCUCAAGCACAUCGAAACUUCCAACAAAUAAUUCAUGAAAAAGCCAGUCAGUGCUAGCACCAGGAAUUGAACGUGGGCCAUCCUGCUAGCAGUCAGAGAUGUUCAGUGGUGUAGCCACGAGGGGGCUAGGGGGUCUCGAGCCCCCCCUACCUGCCACGGACCGACCCACACAAAUCGUGCAAAUCCGAGAACAUAAUAUAUGGGGGGGGGGGACCAGUGUGACUAUCGCGAAAGUUCUUGCAGUUCAUGGCGUCUAUCUAAGAAGCAUUCUUGAAUGGUUUUCAAAGUAUAUGAGCUUUUCAAAAUACUUCCAAUCUCGUGACACCACUUCAUUGGUCAUGACAGCCUAUACAUGUAAUCGUACUGUGAACGUCUAAAUCAACUAUUUUCGUUCCCUUUUUUAAUCCUCAGUUUGAAGUGUGCACAAGUAUGUGUGUGUUGUCGACACAGGAUCAGC
This is a long non-coding RNA of Ornithodoros turicata, 798 nucleotides long. RefSeq lists it as uncharacterized. Lineage: Eukaryota; Metazoa; Arthropoda; Arachnida; Ixodida; Argasidae. The transcript has 3 exons. The record is from RefSeq and is a predicted model, not a curated record.